This 573-nucleotide long non-coding RNA is filed under the name Linum usitatissimum (flax). RNAcentral's name for it is "long non-coding RNA (LUSI_LNC003188)". The record is from RNAcentral. Lineage: Eukaryota; Viridiplantae; Streptophyta; Magnoliopsida; Malpighiales; Linaceae.
GCCACACUGCCGGUCUGCCUCCGCCGUUCCACCCGUCAAACUCCGAUCAGAGAAGGGUUCCGAUUGCCACCGGUUUCGAUUUCUUUUCGGGGGAUGAAGUUAAAACUCGAAACUUUGCAGUUUUCAGUCUGAGGUGGAUUUUUUUGGUGGGUAGCAUGAAGGCUGAGAGCGGUCGACAGAAUGACUCUGUAAACGAGACCGUCCACAUUCAUUUCAUUGUUCGCUGCAUCAAUGGCUGGUGAAGACAGAGGAGAACCCCAUUUAGGGCUGGGGAAUUUGGUGCUGCUAUUAGUAGAUAUUUCCUUGGCGUUUUCACUAGGCGCUUGGUGACUGAACUUUUCACUACAUUCACAUCUCGAAUAUCCUGGAGGUAUAAAGCUAGGCCUCUGGAGCUAAGAGAGCCAUCCAGAUAUUGCCAAAAUGUCUUCUUAUUCUUUCAUCUGCUAAGAAUGAAAUGUUGAUCUGAAUUUAAUGCUGCAGGAGCAUCACUGCAUCAGCACCUGAAAUUCUGGGGCUUAGCUACUUUGAACUGAAAUUUGCUUUGCUUACAAUUUCUCCUGAUGCCGGGGGCUG